GUGUGGUUGUCAGAAGGGGC
This 20-nucleotide microRNA is filed under the name Schistosoma japonicum. Its description in RNAcentral is "sja-miR-3504". Lineage: Eukaryota; Metazoa; Platyhelminthes; Trematoda; Strigeidida; Schistosomatidae. The record is from miRBase by way of RNAcentral.